This is a non-coding RNA of Caenorhabditis elegans, 82 nucleotides long. The record is from Ensembl. NCBI's taxonomy places the organism in Eukaryota, Metazoa, Nematoda, Chromadorea, Rhabditida, Rhabditidae.
UUGGUGGCCUAGAAUUCACAAAUUUCGGAUUUCUAGGCCACCACCUUCAAAUUGGCAUAACUUGGCGGAGAAUUGAGUUUUU